This 484-nucleotide ribosomal RNA is filed under the name uncultured bacterium. RNAcentral describes it as "bacterial SSU rRNA". It matches the Rfam family "Bacterial small subunit ribosomal RNA", at positions 34 to 507 of the family's 1533-position model. The record is from RNAcentral.
CGCUGGCGGCAUGCCUUACACAUGCAAGUCGAACGGCAGCAUGGAGGAGCUUGCUCCUCUGAUGGCGAGUGGCGAACGGGUGAGUAAAGCAUCGGAACGUGCCGUGUAGUGGGGGAUAACGUAGCGAAAGUUACGCUAAUACCGCAUACGCACCGAGGUGGAAAGCAGGGGAUCGCAAGACCUUGCGCUAUACGAGCGGCCGAUGUCAGAUUAGCUAGUUGGUAGGGUAAAGGCCUACCAAGGCGACGAUCUGUAGCGGGUCUGAGAGGAUGAUCCGCCACACUGGGACUGAGACACGGCCCAGACUCCUACGGGAGGCAGCAGUGGGGAAUUUUGGACAAUGGGGGAAACCCUGAUCCAGCCAUGCCGCGUGAGUGAAGAAGGCCUUCGGGUUGUAAAGCUCUUUCGGCUGGGAAGAAAUCGCACAGGCUAAUACUCUGUGUGGAUGACGGUACCAGCACAAGAAGCACCGGCUAACUACGUG